AGUCAAUACAUCAUCAUCAUCAUCAUCAUCUCCCCGUUUCUGCUGUGUAUCACAGGUUCUUUCUCUGCUCCUGUGUUAAUAGUUAAUGGUUUUGUUGGAGGAUCGGCUGUCUUCCCAUGCGAUUUUGAGGCUCAGGUUAAAACUGACAUUACAACGCACUGGAGAGACAGGAAGGAAAAUAAUGUGUAUGAUAUAAUUGGGGGCAGUGGAACAGAUAAAAGUCAAGCUCAGCAGUAUAACAACAGAGUUGAAGAGAUAGACCACUGCUCCAUCAAACUCAACAACCUCAGCAAAACUGAUGAAGGAAAAUACACCGGUUACAUUGCACACCCAAUAAACAGGGCAAUAUACAUAAAUCUUAGUGUCGCAGAUAAACCAGAGGGGGGAGAGAGCCACGAUGAAGGGAGCGUCAGUGAUUCUGCAGACCCAUCAAACACAGGUGUGUGAAAUCCCCAUAAUGACAAUGUGAAAAAAGAGUUUUUGAAAUUGUUGCAAAUUUAUUUAAAAAAAAGCCUAAAAUCACAUGUACAUAAGUAUUCAUACAUUAUUGCUCAAUACAUUAUUGAUGCACCUUUGGCAGCAAUUACAGCCUCAAGUCUUUUUGAAUAUCAUGCCACAAGCUUGGCACACCUGUCUUUGACAAACUUACCUGUCAUUUCUGAGCUUUGACAUUAUUCCGAUGGCAGUACUAGGAAAUUAUGUUUAUGGUCACAUGGCCAAACUACCCAAUCUUGUUAGACCUGCCCUGAACUCAUUUAGACAUCUUAAAUUUUCAUUAUAUAUGAACAUGUGCUUUAUAAUAAAGUUACUUUUUAGUACUACAGAAAUGUAUUCAAGCAAAAAUUGUGGUCACAAUUGUGAACGGUGGGAUUAAAUGGUGGGAUUAAGGGGCCGAUCACAACAAACCCGUUUUUUGCGUUAAGAGCCCCCCACCACUUAAAUAAAUGACAAAAAAAAAACCAACAGAAAUGACGUUAGGUGAUUUUCUAGGUGAGUUGACUUUUAUCAAUUAAGGGGCUCUCUUGGAAAAAGAGGCGCUCAAAAAUGCUUUUCUUACUUGUCUGUCAAAAUUGAGUUUUUCCUUAAA
Molecule: long non-coding RNA, 1087 nt
Organism: Danio aesculapii
Lineage: Eukaryota; Metazoa; Chordata; Actinopteri; Cypriniformes; Danionidae
Exons: 3
Source: RefSeq, a predicted model, not a curated record